GCUUUAAAUUUUCUAUUUUAAAACCAAAUUUACUUUUUUACCUUUGUUUAUAUUUUUAUUUAUCUUUUGCUCUUGCCUUUUGGUUUAUACCAAAAGGUAUAAACAUGCAAAAGCAAGAGAUAAAAAUAUAAAUAAAAAUGCUAGGAAGAGAAAGUAAAUAAGCUCUAAAUUUAAUAAAUAAAAAUAAAAUUUUCAACUCGCAAUCCUCAGGAUUUAUAGGAGAAAAUUAAAUAAAUAAGACCUAAUUUUAUUAAGAACAGUAAAAAAUAGAAUAAAUUAAAG
RNAcentral lists this ribosomal RNA (282 nucleotides) under Cyclocybe aegerita. RNAcentral describes it as "partial small subunit ribosomal RNA". The record is from RNAcentral. Lineage: Eukaryota; Fungi; Basidiomycota; Agaricomycetes; Agaricales; Hemipholiotaceae.